CAGUCGCCGCGGGAAUACGUAGGUGGCAAGCGUUGUCCGGAAUUAUUGGGCGUAAAGGGCUCGCAGGCGGUUUCUUAAGUCUGAUGUGAAAGCCCCCGGCUCAACCGGGGAGGGCUAUUGGAAACUGGGAAACUUGAGUGCAGAAGAGGAGAGUGGAAUUCCACGUGUAGCGGUGAAAUGCGUAGAGAUGUGGAGGAACACCAGUGGCGAAGGCGACUCUCUGGUCUGUAACUGACGCUGAGGAGCGAAAGCGUGGGGAGCGAACAGGAUUAGAUACCCGUGUAGUCCCUGUCUCUUAUAC
RNAcentral lists this ribosomal RNA (301 nucleotides) under uncultured bacterium. RNAcentral describes it as "partial 16S ribosomal RNA". It matches the Rfam family "Bacterial small subunit ribosomal RNA", at positions 509 to 807 of the family's 1533-position model. The record is from RNAcentral.